RNAcentral lists this ribosomal RNA (266 nucleotides) under uncultured archaeon. Its description in RNAcentral is "partial 16S ribosomal RNA". It matches the Rfam family "Archaeal small subunit ribosomal RNA", at positions 748 to 1008 of the family's 1478-position model. The record is from RNAcentral.
AGGGUGUAAACGCUGCAGACUUGGUGUUGGGAACCCUUCGGGGGUGGCUCAGUGCCGGAGAGAAGUUGUUAAGUCUGCUACUUGGGGAGGUACGUCCGCAAGGAUGAAACUUAAAGGAAUUGGCGGGGGGAGGCACCGCAACGGGAGGAGCGUGCGGUUUAAUUGGAUUCAACGCCGGACAUCUCACCAGGGGCGGACAGCAGAAUGAUGGCCAGGUUGAUGACCUUGCUUGACAAGCUGAGAGGUGGUGCAUGGCGUGUGACUGU